Molecule: ribosomal RNA, 1381 nt
Filed under: Hylarana sp. C MS-2010
Lineage: Eukaryota; Metazoa; Chordata; Amphibia; Anura; Ranidae
Description: partial 16S rRNA
Rfam family: Bacterial large subunit ribosomal RNA
Source: RNAcentral
GCCCUAAAUCUAGCCCACAAAAUUUAACUUCCACAUACCACCUACUACCCCACCUCAUAAUAAAACAUUUUAAUAUUUUAGUAUAGGAGAUAAAAAAAUUCCUAGGCGCUUCAGAUAUAGUACCGCAAGGGAAAGAUGAAAUAAAAAUGAAAUAAUUUUAAAGCCUAAAACAGCAGAGAUAUGCCCUCGUACCUUUUGCAUCAUGGUCUAGCUAGUUUGACCAAGCAAAAAGAAAAUUUAAGUUUGUCACCCCGAAACUAAGCGAGCUACUUCAAAACAGCCCUAAGGGCCAACUCAUCUCUGUUGCAAAAGAGUGAGAUGAUUUUCAAGUAGAGGCGAUAAACCUACCGAGCCUAGAGAUAGCUGGUUGUUCAGGAAAAGAGUUUUAGCUCUACCUUAAGUUUUACUAUUAUACAAAACAACCUACUAAACUUAAGAGCUAUUCAAAUAAGGCACAGCUUAUUUGAAAUAGGAUACAACCUAUAACACUGGGUAAAUAAGAGUAAUUUAAACAAAGUGGGCCUAAGAGCAGCCAUCUUUAAAAAAGCGUCACAGCUUAACUUCCCUUUUACUUCUAAUUAGUACACCUCCCCUCAACCCUUCACCAAUACUGAACUUUUUUAUACAAUUAUAAAAAUUAUUAUGCUAGAACUAGUAACAAGAAAUUGCCCUUCUCCUAAAUGUAAACAUAAGUCAUAACGGACCCCCCAUUGACACUUAACGUAAAUGUAUUUGUAUAUAGCAACAUUCAUCAAGAAAACCCUAUAAUUUUAAACGUUAACCUUACACUAGAGCAUUACAGGGAAAGAUUAAAAGAGAGAGAAGGAACUCGGCAAAUUUUAGCCCCGCCUGUUUACCAAAAACAUCGCCUCUUGAUUUCUAUAAGAGGUCCAGCCUGCCCGGUGACAAAGUUUAACGGCCGCGGUACCCUAACCGUGCAAAGGUAGCAUAAUCACUUGUUCUCUAAAUAAGGACUAGUAUCAACGGCAUCACGAGGGCUAUACUGUCUCCUCUCCCUAAUCAGUGAAACUGAUCUCCCCGUGAAGAAGCGGGGAUAUAUUUAUAAGACGAGAAGACCCCAUGGAGCUUCAAGCAAUGCAUUUACCCCCGCACACUUACCCCAAAUUAACAAAAAGACCUAAAUGCUAGCUUUGGGUUGGGGAGACCGCGGAGUACAAAUUAACCUCCACGACAAACGGGCCACGCCCCUAUCUACGAGUGACAACUCUAAGAAUCAAUAAUCUGAUGUUUAAUGACCCAUAAAUUUGAUCAACGAACCAAGUUACCCUGGGGAUAACAGCGCAAUCUACUUCAAGAGCCCCUAUCGACAAGUAGGUUUACGACCUCGAUGUUGGAUCAGGGUAUCCUAGUGGCAACCGCU